UCUUUUCUUUUGAUAGGAGAGUUUUUAAAACCAGUGUUAUUUUUGUAAGUUUAAGAGAAGUUUGUGUAUUGAAUUUUUAACAUUAAAGAGCUUUGUUAAACUUAGACUUAAGUUUAGGUCAUUUUGGGGGUUUAGCUCAGUUGGCUAGAGCAUCGGCUUUGCAAGCCGAGGGUCAAGGGUUCGAGUCCCUUAACCUCCAUUGGGCUUAUGUCCUAAAUUGUAAUUAAGUAUGUUUUUAAGCAACUUUAUUAAAGUAAUUGUUGGAAUGUGAAACAGAGGAAGUUAAAAUUUCUGGGUUAAGUUGAGAUCUGUUGAUAUUAAGAAGAAUCUCUAGAAGCAAAAGCAAGCUUUCGAUAAAACCCGAAGUUGUUUCGCUAAAGUGCAAGGAUUAAACAGGAUUGUAUUUUCCAGCAGCCUAUUUUAUAAACGAUCUGCAUUUAGUAAAUAGUUUUUAGUUAAGAAAUAAUGUAGAUUGCUAAGUGUGAUGCC
This 489-nucleotide unclassified non-coding RNA is filed under the name Borreliella burgdorferi (Lyme disease spirochete). RNAcentral's name for it is "partial 16S-23S ribosomal RNA intergenic spacer". The stretch from base 126 to 199 matches the Rfam family "tRNA". Lineage: Bacteria; Pseudomonadati; Spirochaetota; Spirochaetia; Spirochaetales; Borreliaceae. The record is from RNAcentral.